Mauremys reevesii (Reeves's turtle) is the source of this 1227-nucleotide long non-coding RNA. RefSeq lists it as uncharacterized. Lineage: Eukaryota; Metazoa; Chordata; Testudines; Geoemydidae. The record is from RefSeq and is a predicted model, not a curated record. The transcript has 3 exons.
GCUACAAGUAAACCACAAUGAAGUAAAUGUUACAUUUUGUAUUACUACUGCCUCCCAUUAAUUUUUUAUCACAUUGCAUAAUCUGUAACCCCACUUCCAGCUUUAUCCAACUUUGUGUCACUAUACAUGCCUUGCAAGGAUCACAAAGAUAAAUCCACUUGUGACAUGCACCACAUAUUCUUCAUUGUGAUAUUAUUAUAUGAUUAUGGCAUAAUUAUGAUGCAUUUUGUACAACGUGGGGCAUGUAAGGUGUCAUUGGAUUUGCUGAAUAUGAUUAUCCUGUUUGUGUGCAUGUAUAUUUUUGUAUCUGAAGUUAUGAAUAUUGACUACAUAUCUGUAUUUCACAUGUAGUCACACCUGGGUGACACCCACAAGGCAAGAUGCUUCCAAUCUAAAUAGCUGGUUGUGCAGGGCCCAUUCAGGGUAAAGAGCCAUUAGAGAAAACAAUAGGCCUCAGGAGAAGCUUAUCCCCCAAUCUGGUGACCUUCCUGUGGAUGUUUCAGCCAGCCUGUAAAUAAUGGCUGCUAUGACUCUGCAAGGGCAUGUGACUAGCCCAGAUGACUUUAGACUCCAUUUUGGUAGCCUGUAUUUUCCCACAAAUUGGGCUGGGAACUGUUUUUGGAACAAAGGGUUCCCACCCAGUGCUAAAGCUCUAUAAGGCAGGGAGUGACAGCAGCUGUUGCUCUUCACUCCCCCACAACUGAACACCUGAAAGAAGCUCUGAAAGAAAAGGACUUGGAAUGGGGAUGGGGAGCUGAAGCUGAAAAGCAAGUGAAGCUCGUGCCUUGAGAAUCUGCAAGCCUGUUUGUAUCAUCAGUCAGGUACAGCAGAAUCAAGAAACCUGUUUAAAUGGUCAGUGUGGCCACUGCAUAGUCCAGGUGCUAAAGGACCACUCAAGGAAGACCAUUGUGGAGAAACAAAAUUAAUACUUUGCAUAGGUCUUCACUGUAGAGGUUGUGAAGGAGAUUCCCACACCUGAGCCAUUCUUUUUAGGCACUCUACAAGUGAGAGAGGUCAGAAAGUCACGUAGACUUCUAGGAGCCCGCUAGCCUCAGCUGAGAGAGCAGCCAUGAGUGGGAACAAAUUUUUGUAGUGCAAGAUCUCAUGUCUCUGUUCGACUCUCCCAGGCUAGGACACCAGGAAAUAGAGCAUCACUCUGAGCCCCAGGCUUAUGUAGCUUAUGCAGCCCUCAUGUAAUUCAACUGUAACCAAAACAGUUAUGCAAAA